RNAcentral lists this ribosomal RNA (390 nucleotides) under uncultured Tulasnellaceae. RNAcentral's name for it is "eukaryotic LSU rRNA". The record is from RNAcentral. Lineage: Eukaryota; Fungi; Basidiomycota; Agaricomycetes; Cantharellales; Tulasnellaceae.
CGCACCUUGCACCCCUCUGGUAUUCCGGAGGGGUAUGCCCGGUUGAGUAUUAUAAUCGACUCAAGCCCUCUGGUUUCUAAUCGCAAAGGUCGGAUGACCGACGAAACUGUCUAUUGGGACGGGUGGUAGUUGGAGUUUGACUUGGAAUCCGGACUAGGCCUUGGACUUGAGCGCAUGUCGGUUUCACUUAGAGAUCGACUCGCUUGAAAUGGUAUUAGCUGGCGACCCCGACUAACGGUUUCACUCGACGUAGUAAGCCUUUAUUCGUUGAGGACAUCUUUUCUUAAGGUGACCGGUAGACACGGGGUGUUGAGCCGUCUUCUAAUCGUCUUAGGACAAGCGACCGAAAGUCUAAAUCUCAACUCGGGUAGGAUUACCCGCUGAACUUAA